UACGUAGGGGGCUAGCGUUGUCCGGAAUCAUUGGGCGUAAAGCGCGUGUAGGCGGCCCGGUAAGUCCGCUGUGAAAGUCGGGGGCUCAACCCUCGGAUGCCGGUGGAUACUGUCGGGCUAGAGUACGGAAGAGGCGAGUGGAAUUCCUGGUGUAGCGGUGAAAUGCGCAGAUAUCAGGAGGAACACCAAUUGCGAAGGCAACUCGCUGGGACGUUACUGACGCUGAGACGCGAAAGCGUGGGGAGCAAACAGG
RNAcentral lists this ribosomal RNA (253 nucleotides) under uncultured bacterium. RNAcentral's name for it is "partial 16S ribosomal RNA". It matches the Rfam family "Bacterial small subunit ribosomal RNA", at positions 524 to 776 of the family's 1533-position model. The record is from RNAcentral.